Molecule: long non-coding RNA, 9155 nt
Filed under: Musa acuminata (dwarf banana)
Lineage: Eukaryota; Viridiplantae; Streptophyta; Magnoliopsida; Zingiberales; Musaceae
Description: long non-coding RNA (MACU_LNC009114)
Source: RNAcentral
CUCCGUAAACUCGAUCACUAGCUACACUGUAUUGCUUCAAGACUUACAACUAUCCCAGCUUUGCUUGCUCACUAGCGCUGCGUAAAGAAUUCUUACAGUAGCUUGUGGACAGCUUACAUCUUCUUACUACUUACAGUUGACUCACACAUAACUCUCGGGGAACAACGCUUACUCUCGCUAUACUCUUACUCUCGCUAUACUCUAAGAUAAGAGAUUAACCUAACAGCCCUUCUAAACUGACUUAUGGAAAAUAGAGUGCACACAUUAUAGAGAGAAAAGUCAAAAAACUGCCUACAAUCAUAUUACAGAGAGCGUGACACAUAUAGACAUUUUUCACCUAAGAGAGGAGAGCGCGACACAUAAAUCAAUAAGUCACCUAAUAUCACUGCAACAAGAACCGUAGCAGUAGAGUCACCUUCUACUUCUGGUCUUACUCUUUCAAAAGUUGGAUAAUCUACUUUAAGGGGAAUAGUAUAGAUGUGUCACUUUCCAGUCUUACGGGAAUAGAAAAGUCAUAAGUAUGCUGUCUUUGUUUUGUUACUCAUUUAUAUCAUACUUGCUUGUUUGCGCUAACGGAGCUGCCGCGUAGUGGGCAAGCACCAACCGAGCCUGAUUAUGGGUAACUCUACUACAGAAGAGAAAGUGGGUAAACUACCAAAUAUGAGAUAAGCACCCGAUUGGUUUAGUCUGAGUCUCCCUAAGAGCAUGGAGGCACCGUGAUCCCAAGAUCUAUUAUCUUAUUAAUAAAACAAGCCUUUCCCGCUCGCUCUGAGAAACCCACUCGCUCUGAGAAAACCCCGAACCCGCUCUGCACUUAGCAAAACCUGUACCUUCACCAUCUACUACAGCAAUAGGCACUCUUCACCAUCCACUACAGCAAUAGGCACUGAAGUUGAUUAUGGACUUCCCGUGUAGUGGGCAAUAGCACUCGGGACCUAAAGAAACUAGUAGCCGUCAUUCUCAUACUGGUUAUCAAUCAUUAGUGACAAUAGUCCCUUCCUUAAGAUAUAUCAUUCAAUCCUCCUUAUGAAGAUACAUCAUCAUUUAUGCCCGGACAAAACCUAGUCAUGUAUGUGCUCCUUCUUUCUCUCUCGCCAACCAACCUCACCUUAGUGCUCUUCUUUACUGGAAUUCAGAAAUCCAAUGAAAAGGAAACUACUAUUAAUAAGAAAGAAACGGGAAACAGCCAAGAGAAAUGGACCUCAAUCGUAGGCAAGGGCUACCUCUACCUUUACCUUUCCUUCGCGCAUCUAGGAAUCAGUCCCUUACUUUUCCUCAAAGCCUAUUCUCGAGAAAAUAUGUAUUAGAAAUCCCAUAUGUAUUAUAAGAUAUUGGCCUUGUCUUUAUUCUAAUGUCGCGGCAGAUUCGUGACCAGGGGGUAAGUCCGCUUUGCUGCUGAUUCUAUUACCUGGGACUUCGAAUCGUGAGAAGGAUUUUCUGCUUAGCGUUGACUAGCGUUGACCGGGGCUUACUAAUGGUAAAUAAAGUCCAACUCCUGCUUGCUUUACUCGGAAGAAAUGCUUUGCCCUUACCUGACUCAAUCAUGCUACUUGAAUGAAAGACGGGAAAAUAUCUGUCUUACGAGAUGCCCCAAUCCAAUCCAAAGAGAAAGGCUAAGAGCAAGUGCCACGAUUCUCUAAGAAUGCCAUUUAUGUCAGUUUCUUCUGGGUUUGCUUGGUAUACAGGAGUUGUUACUUUCUCUUCUACUAUAGCUAAUAUGGAAAUCUUUCACGCAGUGGGAUAUGCCCGCUUUCUAUCUUACACUAUACGAAAUGCCUAGCUGACUUGCCCAAGCCUACCCACUCCCUAUGAUUCUAUCAAUCUCGGGAGUUCCUGCCGAAAAGUAAGCCUUUUCCUCGCACCCGAACGUAACUUGAAAGAACGUCUUGAUGGCGAACACUGGACUUGUGCCUUAACCCUACUUUCUCACUUUCACUGGUUCUUCUCUUUCUUCCCAAGCUCCAUUACGUGGGCUAUCUGAACUUCCAACACAGAGAUCCCUGCCGGGGGGCUAUCUGAACUUCCAACACAGAGAUCCCUGCCUUAACUCCCUUCCCAUUUAGGAAUAGAAACUCUAGCUAGCACAACGUCUUUGAACUCCACUCUCAAGUCAUCAUGGAAUUGAAGAGAACCCCUCCCUUAUCGAAGCAUCGGCUAAGAUGUUAGGAUCAAAUGCCUAAGAAGGACUGUUUCUUAGUUUCAAUAGUGACUUUUGCCAUAAGGGGUGUGUGUGUGUUUCCCCUGCCUGAAAAUACUAACAUAAACGCUUGCUUUGACUUCGACUUCUGACUGAACUGCAUCAUAAGAAUCUAAAGUCAGGGCAAUUAGUUUAGUUACAGAGGAUGUAUUAUUAGAUUAAUUAGUUCCACAUAAAGGGAAAGCCUGGAAUAGUGCUUGUAGACAACAUUGGUAGACAACAUGGAGGGAUUUGAUUCUCUUAUUAACUUACCGCAACAUUCGAACUAUCAUUUCACUUUUGUUCUACUUUACUGGAUGAUUCAUUCUUAUCGCCAACCAACACCGAGAUAUUUAACUGCAGCAGAUAUCUAGCUUAUGCGGAUUCUCUUUCUUAUGCUUCCUCAGAACAUUGUUUCCCCUUUACUUCAAAACGAACUCAAGCUCCUUCCUUCUGCAGAUCCUUAUUCUUGACCUUAUUUCUUUCCCUAACCCUGCGAUUGUGAUCUACCAGUACCUUCCUCUAUACCUGCUUUCCAAGCUAUUCUCUUGUCAUCAACACUGUCAACUUGAAACCAGUACUCAUGGCAAAGGCAAAGGUCCAAAGUGAAAGGAGUCGUAUCCCUUUCAAAAAGCAACCGGCUAACGUAGGUAGUUAAGAGCAAGUGAUGUUUUCGAGCUCAAAGUCAUUGAGUUCCGUAUCUUUACCUUGCUUGUAAUGGAGAAUGUCCGUAUAUAUAAUACGAGGCUCAAGCAUAAGUAGGAUUAUCUGAUGGAGUUGUAUCAGAUGACAGAUCAGAAACAGUGUGAGCUCCCGAAAACGGAGAACGGACUCUUAACCUCUAGUAUAGAGCAAGCAGGUAAUAAUCACAGGGGAGUUUCUUUGGGUUGGGUGCUUGAGAAGGCACAAGUAAGGUCAGAGCAGCAAUUCCAGUUCGCGUAUAAAGAAUUGCCAGCCAGUUUUAGUUGACGACUUCAUAUUUGAAGUUCAUAAGCUGUUUCAACGGAAUGAUGCAGUAAUAGUUUUGUAUCUGAGAUCAGAAGAGAGAUAAGUAGGGGAAUGCAAUAAGUAAGGCAAAGAGUCAAGGUGGGAGUGAAGAAUGCAAGGGGCAGGUCAAAGAACGGGAGGUGAACUUGGUCUUCAAGUAAUAUAGCUCAGCCUGAAAGUGACAUCAAUCAGUCAACGAGCAUACCUUCUGUUCGGUCGUCGGUGCACACAAUCAUUCUGUGAGCUACUAUGUCUAUGUUCCCAAUCAUUCUGUGCUAUGGUACAGCAACUCCGGUCCAGCAACUACGUCUUCGCUCGUGCAUCGAAGGGACCGCACCCAUUGUAUCAUUCAUAGCCCAUAUGCACCCAUUGUAUCAUUCAUAGCAGUAGCAUCCCAUAUGUAUGUAUUGGCGAAACAGCCGUGCAACGAAGGGCCGGGCAACGAACAACGAUGGUCCACAGGCCGGUCAACAAUAAAGUGGUUUGUAGGUUCUGAAAGUGAUCAACAAUUCUUCAAGGAGGUGUUCGCACAUCAUUCGAAUUCUGUGAUCUGUCAUUCGCCGUGGAUCAUCUCAUCUCUCAUUCAUCGCAGCGCGGGGACAUCUAAUAUCAUAUGUAUUGGGAGAACCAACAUUGAUUCAACGGGCGAGACAAAGGACUUAGCAAAUAGAAUAUGAAAACACACGCAACUAUUAUAUAUCAUAUGCAAACAAGAAAACACAUGACAUGAAUUCCACUAUUACUAUUAUUAUUCCAAUAUUACUACUAUUAUUCCACUAUUACUAUUAUAAGAAUAUCAUAAGAGAAUAGAGAAGUACAACUACCAUGCAAAAACAAAACCUCAUAAGCCAGAAAGUCAGGAGCAACACAGAGACUUAGGUAAAAGAUAGUCAGAAUGCUAGUAUUGGAAGUAAGCCUAAAAGCAAGUAAGCUAAGAGGUUUGAAUGUGGCCGGUAGAGGCAUACUGAAACUAGGAUAUGGAAUGCCAGGAAUAAGUACUCGAACGAAAAGCUGCGGCUCUACUCUAUUCUUAUGCGGUUAUUGUAUUCCCCAGGUCGAUUCUAAGAAGCAAUAGGAACAGCCUUGUUUUGCUGGGGCUGUAGGUUGGUUCUUAUUGACAGCAGUAGCAGCCGUUAGGAACUAGUUGAGUUGCAUUUUCUAGUUAAGCUCAAUCCUUGUUAGCAACGGGUCUAGUCUCAUAUGCCCUAGCUCUGUUCUAAUAGUUAGUAGAUGGUUUCCCAGUCAGUAGGGUACUUGUUAAUAGCAAUAUGGGUCUUCUACUUAUUGGCAAGGAGUUUAGUAACACAAGCCAGGAGGAUAGUCAGAAUCAAAGCAAGGGAGUUAAGGCAUGAGGACGGGCGGAGUGUCCACAUACUAGAAUCCAACCUGGUAUCGAGUGACAUUAUGCUUAUUACUAGACCAAUUCUUUCCAGUAGUGAUUCCAGCCUUGUUAGACGUUCCUGAGGACCUGUAUUAGAAAAAGAAGUUCAAUCAGACUUGCGAGUUGAGUAAGCUGAGGUUAAGGCAGGGAGGGUACAUAGAGAGUGUCCACCUAAGAUAAGAGAUAGGAAAUUCAGGCUAAAAGGAAGAAGCGUUAACCUUUUUAACAGUAGUAUUAGUCUGCUUGCCACUAGUGGGAUUCUGAGUCGUAUUCGGGUUAUUCUAAUGGUGGUAUUUAGACCCCCCGUCUCGAGGUUGGUUCUAUGUUAUACUACACAUAUCCCGUAUUCUGAGUGACAUUAGAAUAAGCACUGGUUUAGCUCUUUACCUCUCUUGGUGGAUUCCUCUUCUCUUGUUUGAUUAUUUGACUUACUUAUUUAGCAACCUAUCUGCUUUGCCUUUCUUUCUUUGACUACCAACCUUGUUAUAGUGCUCGUGCUCUAAUCGAACUCUGUGGUCACCAACUCUGGCAGAACUCCUAUUCCUUGAAGCCUGCGAACCCGGGGCCCGGCUCUAAUACUAAUAGCAGUUGUAAUAGUGGUAAGAUCUAGGGAAGUAUCCGAUUGACCUCAUAAGUAAGAAGCCGACUCGUAAGUAAGAAAGGGAGUGGGACCAUUACUUAUAGAACCAAACUGGGAAUGGAGAGGAUGAAACAGGCACAUAUGAAUUUCACUAAUAAUAAACAGAAGCAACCUACCGCCCUGAGCACAGCACUUGGUAAUAACCACCAAUAACAUAUUAUGUGUUGUUUCAGAAGACUCCGCACAACAUUAGCAGUUGCUUGGCCCCUUCCUUAUCUAUUCGUUCCAGUUCGAUUCUUAUAAGCACUAGUGAAUUCCGUCUCUACGAGCAUAAAUCGCCCUACUUAUUUGUAGUUAUGGCACGAGUUCUCAAUCAAGUAAGUCUGUGGCCUAACUAAAGGUAGGUGAAAGUCUCGCUCCAUUUCAUAUCUGGCUCGGGAGGUAAAGCUACAAACUAUCAUUUCGCAAUCUUCUAUUGUAUCUCUUGAAGCUGGAAGUUAGAGAAGCAUCUGAAAGCCUGUGAUCAAGAGAAGAAGAUCAGUUUAGGGCUUUCCAUGGAAAACCACUCUUUAUUAGCCUAGCCCUAUGAGUGAACCGUAGCUCACGAACGCUGGACUAAAACGCCGGAAUUGGCUAUUUGUGACAGCUGUAAACUCUGUAAGCGCCAGCAUCCUCUUCUCAAGCAUCCUCCUAUACAUAGAUUAUUUCUUAAUAACAUGGGUAACGCCAACAACGGCUAAAGAUUCUCAAUUCGUUCUUCAAGUUAGUUCCUGAGGUUGUUUACCCUAUUCUUUUCUAUUAUGAGUCACUGCUGUAGAGUGAAGCUGUGUAGUUUAGAAGCCAAAUCCAAAGGGAAGCCUUUCUAGCGGCGAAGAGAACUCCAUAUCCAUAUAUAAGCCCUACGCUUCGGAUUGCCAACCUCGCUUGAGUGAGACUCGAAAGCCUUUGCAAGUAAUAAGUGAGAGCGAUACUUUAUCCAAGCUAAGCUUUCGGCUACAUAAAGAAGCAUGAAUGAAACGAGACAAGCUUUGCCCGACUGAUGGUGAUUGAGGUCCAUCGUCGGCAGGCGGUAUAGAUGGAAAUGGUCUUGCUUGGAAUCUUAGAGAUGAAAUGGUCUGGAAUCUUAGAGAUGGAAAUGGUCUUUGCUUGGAAUCUUAGAACGAAGAAGACAGCAAUGCUGCGCCGGGCCAAGUCGAGCAAGGAUUGAACUCUCUCUCGUGCUUUGCAUUGGAUUUGAGAAUGGGCAGAGCUUAGUGUUGUAAAACAGUUGACUUAAUGAAAAAACCUAGGGAUCAAUGAGGAUACGGGAAUGUCUUAAGCCAGUUGAGGUUUCAAUUUGUACUAUAGAAGACCGUUUUUGUUUCAAUUUGACUAUAGGAUUAUUUACGACGCAAUAGGAAGGAUGAGAGACAGACGGGUUGGUUUCUUUAGCUGAACUCGAUAGAGUGUAGUGGGCAAUAGCAAUAGGAACUCUUAUCUAAAUUCUGGAUUAUUGACUUCACUUCCCUCUGUAUUAUUGACUUAUACAUCUCAGCGCCAGGCAGGUUAAUUAAGUCUAGUAAAGGUUUACUUGUGUUAAGUGCUCGUGUGCGCCUACCUACAGUUUUGUAUGCAAUGAACCCUUCUCUCGGACAAGAACAAGCUUUUCUUUGAACUAACAAUUGAAUACUAAACAAUAGCCUCACAGCUCGUCCUUUAUCAUAGACAGACUGCAGGUACAAACUAUAGAUUGAGUCUCAAUUAGAUAAGACUUAUUCUCUCUUUCUUUCCUUCGAGAUACUCAUUCUCUAUUUAUAGUACACUAACCCCAUGAAACUUUCUAGCUCAAGGCUAGAAGCUACCAACACUUUCCAAUAAAAGAAAGAAAUAGGAAUUCGGUGGAUGGAUGACCCUAGACCUUCCAGAAGAGAAGAUCGAUAAACGAUUAAGCGCCUUAGAGACCAAUGAAAUGCGACCUAGAAGCUAAGCUUUAUUACUCAAAAGUGAUUUUCAGACCUCUUGCUUCUGCCCUCUAUCUAAGAGUACCUUUGAACCUGGAAUAAAAGGGGUGUGUGUCGCAAUGAAGGAUAUAGUUGGAAUAUAUGAAAUAAGAGUCAAGGGGCUUAUCGUAAAGGGGCUUAUCAAGAGGUAAGUAAUAGAAUAGGAGUACCAAACAGAGGAUAGUCAGAUAGUACACAGGCCCCCGAGAAAGUAGUCUAUUUUGGAAUCAUAACUACGAGACUCAAGCAUAGUGAUAGAAGAAGAAAAGUCGCAAUAAGCAUAGUAAUAGAAGAAGAAAAGUCGCAAUAAAAGAAUUCCAGAAAGGAAUGGAAGAUUUGAAGUAUUUCUUCGCUGUGAUAGUAUCAUUAGUCCUCAUUGGGGGUAGAUGUUCGGUUGAGUGUCUGAAAAUGACUACCUAUCUCACUUCCGUAAUUUGGGCUGAAGAACUAGUAGUAACCUGGGUGAAAAGGCUUGGUUUCUCUGUGAAAGGUGAAGUCUAAGUGUUGGGUCAUUACAAUUGGUAUCAAAGCGACUUUGUGGGCAACACUAUUGGGGUGAAAUGGAUAUAUAUGAGAUUACCGCGGGGUGAAAUGGAUAUAUAUGAGAUUACCUCUCCGUAGGGCACACUGAAUAGAGAUUCCUGGCCACAUGAUAAUCCUAAAGGUGAAUUAAGGGGCAUGAGUUGGCCUUGAUGACGACGUCCAAACAAUAGAGUGGAUUAGAUUGUUCUAUUUCGAGUAAUCACACCUCAGAGAAUAUUCCUUUGUAUUCCUUAGUUAUGGUCGUACUUCUACUCAGCCAUGUGGUCAUAGGGAAAUGACUCUAAGAAUUCUUAGGCUAGCAAGUGUAUUGGCUCUGAGAAAGGAGACCUUCUGACUUCUUUAUGUAAGAGUGUUGUGUUAGCAAUGUCAAACAUUUACAACCAUAGCAAGCAAUAAGAACUACAAAACCAUAGCAAGCAAUAAGAACUCAGAAUUUCCACACAUCUUUAUUACUUGUUUUCUUUAGAUGCCAUAUUAGGAGUAAGUAUUAUGCUAUCCUUUGAAGUUUCCCCACAAUUGAAAGAAGAAACUAGUAGGGGUUGACCAUAGCCAACAAUACCAGCCCUGUUAACUGCACAGAAGCCUAUCUGAAACAAAUAGAUCACCAACAGAAGCCUAUCUGAAACAAAUAGAUCACCACUACACUACUUACACCACUACACUACUUACACCACUACACUACUUUACACUACUUAUUAGUUAAUGACAUUUGAUGGAUUUCCUAUGUGUAUUAGUUAAUGACAUUUGAUGGAUUUCCUAUGUGUAUCCGAAUUCUCUGGGUGGUCCAUGCCGUCAGCUAAUCCUUGAAGAGCCGAUAGGGUACCUUGCAGAUGUGAAGAAGUCCAAUAGAGAUAGAUUGAUUGAUUAUUACUGGUGUGCUACAUGUGUUAGUUAUCAUUGUUGGGAGUAUAUUAGAUGCCCGGCGCGCUCACUACGGCGAGUAGAUUAGCUUGUUCCCGCUCAAGUACUUUACUCAAAUGGGGAUCUGCAGCGAAUGAAUUCAAUAGAACGAUUAAGAUUCGCCAUACAUACAUAAGAUUAUAUGAACGCCAUACAUACAUACAUACAUAAGAUUAUAUGAACGCUAUACAUACAUACAUAAGAUUAUAUGAACAUAGGUGAAAAAACAAGAAACAUAAGAUUAUAUGAACAUAGGUGAAAGAACAAGAAAAGGGGGUUUGGUUUCAGCCGUAAACGACGAUAAAUGGGGGCUAGUUCCAUUGCUUAUAGAAGUAGAAGAUAGGCAGCCUUUCCCUAUUAUACUAUAGAUAGAUAUAGAUAGAUAGUUAUAGAUAGAUAGUUGGAGGAAGCCUAUUAUACUAUAGAUAGAUAGUUGGAGGAAGCCAAGUUGAUACUAUUUUCUGGAUACCAUACUUUCUACUUUUUUAGCAUUACGGCCCCUUUCAUGAGCAUUUCUCUAGCUAGCAGUAGGGCCCUCGAAAUGGAAUAAAAGAAAUCGAAAUGGACUUCUAUAGAAUUCCGUAAUCCCACUCGAUAAGAAGGUAAUCC